Molecule: ribosomal RNA, 246 nt
Filed under: uncultured bacterium
Lineage: Bacteria
Description: partial 16S ribosomal RNA
Rfam family: Bacterial small subunit ribosomal RNA
Source: RNAcentral
CAUGCCGUAAACGAUGAGUGCUAAGUGUUAGGGGGUUUCCGCCCCUUAGUGCUGCAGCUAACGCAUUAAGCACUCCGCCUGGGGAGUACGACCGCAAGGUUGAAACUCAAAGGAAUUGACGGGGGCCCGCACAAGCAGCGGAGCAUGUGGUUUAAUUCGAAGCAACGCGAAGAACCUUACCUGGACUUGACAUCUCCUGAAUAGUGUAGAAAUACAUGAAGCCCUUCGGGGCAGGAAGACAGGUGG